Long non-coding RNA from Selaginella moellendorffii, 813 nucleotides. RefSeq lists it as uncharacterized. The transcript has 3 exons. Lineage: Eukaryota; Viridiplantae; Streptophyta; Lycopodiopsida; Selaginellales; Selaginellaceae. The record is from RefSeq and is a predicted model, not a curated record.
AAUGCACACAACUAGGGCAGGUAGCUCAGUGGUACCAAUGUAGGAGGUCCUGGGUUCAAUCCCUAGCCUGUCCAGAUCCAUUUUCCAACAACUAGGACACACAGACAAAUAUCCAUGUUUCGAACAGUUGAGGAACUAAAUUCAAGUUUGCCAUACAAGCGUCCAUUCUUUCAGAACUCCGAGGUCGAUCUGAGGCCACUUCUAAAGAAUCUUUUGCCAGUGUGGGAGGUCAGCCGUCUUAGAACACGAGGAGAAAAAGUCUGACAGUUUGUUCCUCCAGGUUGAAAGAUGAUACUCUUUGGGAUCGCAAUUCUCUACUUGCAGAGAUUCAACGAACUGGACCGUGGUAAUCCCAAGCAGAAUCCCCGGAGAGCCCCUCCGUCCCGAUCCAAAUGGCAGCACUUGGAAGCUCUGGCCUUUUUCACAUCGAUGUCCGGAUGCCGAAGAAACCGCUCGGGAUCGAACUUGAGAGCCGAUGUUGACGAGCGCCCGAGUUCCUCACGUAUCCCUCCAGCUCGCAAGCUUGGUGAGGAAUGCUCAUGGGCCCUGGGGGAUGGAGGCGCAAUGUUUCCUUGACGAUGGCUUGGAGGAAAGUCAGCUUUAGAAGAUCAGUCUCGUCCAGGCCCGGUUUUCUUUUUCAGCUCCUCCUGAGCUCGUGGAUUUCUUACGAGCUCGUCUACAACCACUCCACCGUGAUAGCGGUCCCAGCAGCGAUCAUAUCCUACGAAGUUACGAGCAUGUCAAUCAAGGAUUCCCAGAUACGGGAAGAAGUCAGCCAGAGCGAUACUUCCAGACACCGUGAGCGCCUCGAGC